CGAGUCUUUGAACGCAAGUUGCG
Molecule: non-coding RNA, 23 nt
Filed under: Arabidopsis thaliana (thale cress)
Lineage: Eukaryota; Viridiplantae; Streptophyta; Magnoliopsida; Brassicales; Brassicaceae
Source: RNAcentral